CCUACGGGCUGCAGCAGUGGGGAAUAUUGCACAAUGGGGGAAACCCUGAUGCAGCGACGCCGCGUGAGUGAAGAAGUAUUUCGGUACGUAAAGCUCUAUCAGCAGGGAAGAAAUACUGACCUUUCGGUCAUCAGCCGGUACUUGCUUAAAAAGCCCCGGUUAAAUACGUGCCACCAGCAGCGGUAAUACGUAGGGGGCAAGCGUUUUCCGGAUUUACUGGGUGGAAAGGGAGCGUAGACGGCAGCGCAAGUCUGGAGUGAAAUCCCAUGGCUUAACCCUGGAACUGCUUUGGAAACUGUGCAGCUGGAGUGCAGGAGAGGUAAGCGGAAUUCCUAGUGUAGCGGUGAAAUGCGUAGAUAUUAGGAGGAACACCAGUGGCGAAGGCGGCUUACUGGACUGUAACUGACGUUGAGGCUCGAAAGCGUGGGGAGCAAACAGGAUUAGAUACCCCUGUAGUC
RNAcentral lists this ribosomal RNA (458 nucleotides) under uncultured bacterium. Its description in RNAcentral is "partial 16S ribosomal RNA". It matches the Rfam family "Bacterial small subunit ribosomal RNA", at positions 338 to 795 of the family's 1533-position model. The record is from RNAcentral.